This 119-nucleotide ribosomal RNA is filed under the name bacterium. RNAcentral also lists the same sequence under 6 other names. The record is from RNAcentral.
CUCGUCGGCCAUAGGUAGCGGGGAAACACCCGGUCUCAUUCCGAACCCGGAAGUUAAGCCCGUUACCGUUACGUGUUCCGUUAAACCUUAGGUUUAGCAGGGCACGUAAGCCGACGAGU